GAAUUAUGGUCAUCUGGGUCUAAAAGACAUCCACUUCUUUGUGUACUCACAGAAUGACAAAAUAACUUAUACCUGACCAAGAUGGCUGCCAUUUCCAGCACUUUCUAGAGUUAUGAAGGUUUAUGACAGGCCACUCUCUGUUUCUAGGUUAUUGUAUCUCCAUGUGUGUACUGAUUUGAUUGCUGGUUCUUCUUCACAGGUUGCCUAACAUUGGCAACACUUGCUUCCUAAAUGCCACCCUGCAGUGCCUCCUGGUCCUGCCUUCCUUCUCAAAGGAAAUCCUACGCCAGGAACAACUCUGGAACUCCUCCCCCUUCUCCAACCUGCUCAGUGGCGCAAACCAGGCCUCAAAAGCAGACCUCAUGUGGAAGGUCAAGUACUCCUUGUCGGGAUAUGAUUUGAAGUAUCUGGGGGACACGCAACAGGACGCACACGAGUUACUUGUGAAUAUGCUGUGCUGUGCCAGCUGAAGGAGGAGGGAAUGAUACUGAAGACACUCGGGGUGAACUAUACCUGCCCUGUUUCCCAGCUGGAGUUCCAGCUUGUCUCAGUGCGCACAUGUACCAGGGCGAAAAGGUUGAAUGAAUUCACAUGUGCGGGCUGCAAAGGCCUCUACAGCUCAAAAGUGGAGCAGUUCCACACACUGCCUCUUGUGCUGGUUCUGCACCUGAAGAGGUUCGGAGGACCUGGGG
Oncorhynchus gorbuscha (pink salmon) is the source of this 692-nucleotide long non-coding RNA. RefSeq lists it as uncharacterized. The transcript is spliced from 5 exons. NCBI's taxonomy places the organism in Eukaryota, Metazoa, Chordata, Actinopteri, Salmoniformes, Salmonidae. The record is from RefSeq and is a predicted model, not a curated record.